UACAGAGGUCCCAAGCGUUGUUCGGAUUCACUGGGCGUAAAGGGUGCGUAGGCGGUGCGGUAAGUCGGGUGUGAAAUCUCGCGGCUUAACUCCGAAACUGCAUUCGAUACUACUGUGCUUGAGGGUUGGAGAGGAGACUGGAAUUUACGGUGUAGCAGUGAAAUGCGUAGAUAUCGAGAGGAAGACCAGUGGCGAAGGCGAGUCUCUGGACAGUUCCUGACGCUGAGACACGAAGGCCAGGGGAGCAAACAGG
RNAcentral lists this ribosomal RNA (253 nucleotides) under uncultured bacterium. Its description in RNAcentral is "partial 16S ribosomal RNA". It matches the Rfam family "Bacterial small subunit ribosomal RNA", at positions 524 to 776 of the family's 1533-position model. The record is from RNAcentral.